UGGCGGACGGGUGAGUAACGCGUGGAUAACCUGCCUCAUACAGGGGGAUAACAGUUGGAAACGGCUGUUAAUACCGCAUAAGCGCACGAAAUCGCAUGGUACAGAGGUAAAAACUGAGGUGGUGUAAGAUGGACCCGCGUCUGAUUAGGUAGUUGGUGAGGUAACGGCUCACCAAGCCGACGAUCAGUAGCCGGCCUGAGAGGGUGGACGGCCACAUUGGGACUGAGACACGGCCCAAACUCCUACGGGAGGCAGCAG
Molecule: ribosomal RNA, 258 nt
Filed under: uncultured bacterium
Lineage: Bacteria
Description: partial 16S ribosomal RNA
Rfam family: Bacterial small subunit ribosomal RNA
Source: RNAcentral